CGGGUGAGUAACACGUGAGGAACGUGCCCCAGAGACCGGGAUAAGCCGAGGAAACUUGGUCUAAUACCGGAUGUCCCCACCGGAUCGCAUGGUCUGGUGAGGAAAUGGAUUCCGCUCUGGGAUCGCCUCGCGUCCUAUCAGCUAGUUGGUGGGGUAACGGCCCACCAAGGCUUCGACGGGUAGCUGGUCUGAGAGGACGAUCAGCCACAUUGGGACUGAGACACGGCCCAG
This 231-nucleotide ribosomal RNA is filed under the name uncultured bacterium. RNAcentral describes it as "partial 16S ribosomal RNA". It matches the Rfam family "Bacterial small subunit ribosomal RNA", at positions 103 to 334 of the family's 1533-position model. The record is from RNAcentral.